AAAUCCUGUAAUCCCGGGAGGACCACCAGUGGCGAAGGCGGUCGGCUAGAACGCGCUCGACGGUGAGGGACGAAAGCUGGGGGAGCGAACCGGAUUAGAAACCCGGGUAGUCCCAGCUGUAAACGAUGCGGGCUAGGUGUUGGGGUGGCUACGAGCCACUUCAGUGCCGCAUGGAAGCCAUUAAGCCCGCCGCCUGGGGAGUACGGCCGCAAGGCUGAAACUUAAAGGAAUUGGCGGGGGAGCACCACAAGGCGUGAAGCUUGCGGUUUAAUUGGAGUCAACGCCGGGAAACUUACCGGGGGCGACAGCAGUAUGAAAGCCAGAUUGAAGGUCUUGCUGGACGAGCUGAGAGGAGGUGCAUGGCCGUCGCCAGUUCGUGCCGUGAGGUGUCCUGUUAAGUCAGGCAACGAUCGAGACCCGCCUCCCUUGUUGCUACUGGUGAAUAGCCAGGCACACUAGGGAAACUGCCGUCGAUAAGGCGGAGGAAGGAGCGGGCCACGGCAGGUCAGUAUGCCCCGAAUCCCCCGGGCCACACGCGAGCUGCAAUGGCAGGGACAAUGGGUUUCAACCCUGAAAAGGGGAGGUAAUCUCUAAACCCUGCCUCAGUUGGGAUCGAGGGCUGUAACUCGCCCUCGUGAACAUGGAAUGCCUAGUAAUCGCGUGUCAUCAUCGCGCGGUGAAUACGUCCCCGCUCCUU
RNAcentral lists this ribosomal RNA (697 nucleotides) under uncultured microorganism. Its description in RNAcentral is "bacterial SSU rRNA". It matches the Rfam family "Archaeal small subunit ribosomal RNA", at positions 635 to 1338 of the family's 1478-position model. The record is from RNAcentral.